GAUGAACGCUAGCUACAGGCUUAACACAUGCAAGUCGAGGGGUAACGAGAGGGAAGCUUGCUUUCCUUGUUGACGACCGGCGCACGGGUGAGUAACGCGUAUCCAACCUGCCCCCAACUAGGGAAUAACCUUGCGAAAGUAAGACUAAUACCCUAUAAUUUCCUCAGAUGUCAUCUGACGAGGAAUAAAGAUUUAUCGGUUGUGGAUGGGGAUGCGUCUGAUUAGCUUGUUGGCGGGGUAACGGCCCACCAAGGCAACGAUCAGUAGGGGUUCUGAGAGGAAGGUCCCCCACAUUGGAACUGAUACACGGUCCAAACGCCUACGGGAGGCAGCAGUGAGGAAUAUUGGUCAAUGGGCGGAAGCCUGAACCAGCCAAGUAGCGUGCAGGAUGACGGCCCUAUGGGUUGUAAACUGCUUUUAUACAGGAAUAAAGUUAGCCACGUGUGGUUAUUUGUAGGUACUGUAUGAAUAAGGACCGGCUAAUUCCGUGCCAGCAGCCGCCGUAA
RNAcentral lists this ribosomal RNA (506 nucleotides) under uncultured bacterium. Its description in RNAcentral is "partial 16S ribosomal RNA". It matches the Rfam family "Bacterial small subunit ribosomal RNA", at positions 28 to 523 of the family's 1533-position model. The record is from RNAcentral.